ACGCGUGGAACCUUACCAGGUCUUGACAUCCCAUUGACCGCUAUGGAGACAUAGCUUUCCCUUCGGGGACAGUGGUGACAGGUGGUGCAUGGUUGUCGUCAGCUCGUGUCGUGAGAUGUUGGGUUAAGUCCCGCAACGAGCGCAACCCUUGUUCUUAGUUGCCAUCAUUUAGUUGGGCACUCUAAGGAGACUGCCGGUGACAAACCGGAGGAAGGUGGGGAUGACGUCAAAUCAUCAUGCCCCUUAUGACCUGGGCUACACACGUGCUACAAUGGACGGUACAAACGGUUGCCAACCCGCGAGGGGGAGCUAAUCCGAUAAAACCGUUCUCAGUUCGGAUUGUAGGCUGCAACUCGCCUACAUGAAGCCGGAAUCGCUAGUAAUCGCGGAUCAGCAUGCCGCGGUGAAUACGUUCCCGGGCCUUGCACACACCGCCCGU
Molecule: ribosomal RNA, 439 nt
Filed under: uncultured bacterium
Lineage: Bacteria
Description: bacterial SSU rRNA
Rfam family: Bacterial small subunit ribosomal RNA
Source: RNAcentral